GAAAAAGUGAAGCAUCAGUUCCACAAGCAGGCAAGUUAUUUAAGGCCCAGUGGUUAUGCAAUGAGAUAUUGUUAUCCAUCAUCCAACCAUGUGCAGUUCAGCCAGAGAAAGCACAGUUUAGAACACUCUUUUGCUCCUGUUUUUCAGAAUCUUUUUAUUAUUUAGUACAUUAGAUUAUGUAAAACCGUUUUCAAAGUGCUUAAAGCUUUUUAGGCACUGAAAAGGGAACAUAUGAACACACUUCUGGGUUCACGCAUUCCAUUGGUAAAUUAAGUGAUGCUACACUGAGGUAAUUUCUUCUAUAUUUAUUAUUAUUAUUUUUUCAAGUUCAUCCACUGUAUUUUCUGGACCACCUUUGCA
This is a long non-coding RNA of Oxyura jamaicensis (ruddy duck), 360 nucleotides long. RefSeq lists it as uncharacterized. The record is from RefSeq and is a predicted model, not a curated record. Lineage: Eukaryota; Metazoa; Chordata; Aves; Anseriformes; Anatidae. The transcript has 3 exons.